CCUACGGGAGGCAGCAGUGGGGAAUCUUGCGCAAUGGGCGAAAGCCUGACGCAGCGACGCCGCGUGGGUGACGAAGGCCUUCGGGUCGUAAAACCCUGUUGCAGGGGACGAAGGAAGUGACGGUACCCUGCCAGAAAGCCCCGGCUAACUACGUGCCAGCAGCCGCGGUAAAACGUAGGGGGCUAGCGUUGUCCGGAAUUAUUGGGCGUAAAGAGCUCGUAGGCGGUAUCUCAAGUCAGAUGUGAAAACCGACGGCUUAACCGGAGGAUUGCAACUGAUACUGGGGUACUUGAGGCAAGGAGAGGAAGGUGGAAUUCCUGGUGGAGCGGUGAAAUGCGUAGAUAUCAGGAGGAACACCAGUGGCGAAGGCGGCCUUCUGGCCUUGACCUGACGCUGAGGAGCGAAAGCCAGGGUAGCGAACGGGAUUAGAUACCCCGGUAGUCCUGGCCGUAAACGAUGGACACUAGGUGUAGGUGGUAUCAAACCCAUCUGUGCCGCAGCUAACGCAUUAAGUGUCCCGCCUGGGGAGUACGGUCGCAAGGCUGAAACUCAAAUGAAUUGACGG
RNAcentral lists this ribosomal RNA (565 nucleotides) under uncultured bacterium. RNAcentral describes it as "bacterial SSU rRNA". It matches the Rfam family "Bacterial small subunit ribosomal RNA", at positions 338 to 916 of the family's 1533-position model. The record is from RNAcentral.